Molecule: transfer RNA, 51 nt
Filed under: Haustorioides koreanus
Lineage: Eukaryota; Metazoa; Arthropoda; Malacostraca; Amphipoda; Dogielinotidae
Description: tRNA-Val
Source: RNAcentral
UAAGGGGGAAGCACCUCAGUUACGUUGAGGUCAACCCAAAGGGCCCCUUAU